UUUGGUGCUCGUGAUGACUUGAGACUUUUUUCCCCAUCAGAGCGGAAAUGUUGAAUUCUUUGCUAUUAGCCAGAACUUGUCUGACUGCACCAAU
Small nucleolar RNA from Notechis scutatus (mainland tiger snake), 94 nucleotides. The record is from Ensembl. NCBI's taxonomy places the organism in Eukaryota, Metazoa, Chordata, Lepidosauria, Squamata, Elapidae.